CAGUAGCCGCGGGAAUACGUAGGGUGCAAGCGUUAAUCGGAAUUACUGGGCGUAAAGCGUGCGCAGGCGGUUUGUUAAGACAGAUGUGAAAUCCCCGGGCUCAACCUGGGAACUGCAUUUGUGACUGGCAAGCUAGAGUAUGGCAGAGGGGGGUGGAAUUCCGCGUGUAGCAGUGAAAUGCGUAGAUAUGCGGAGGAACACCGAUGGCGAAGGCAGCCCCCUGGGCCAAUACUGACGCUCAUGCACGAAAGCGUGGGGAGCAAACAGGAUUAGAUACCCCUGUAGUCCCUGUCCUUAUACC
This 301-nucleotide ribosomal RNA is filed under the name uncultured bacterium. RNAcentral's name for it is "partial 16S ribosomal RNA". It matches the Rfam family "Bacterial small subunit ribosomal RNA", at positions 509 to 808 of the family's 1533-position model. The record is from RNAcentral.